Oncorhynchus gorbuscha (pink salmon) is the source of this 1169-nucleotide long non-coding RNA. RefSeq lists it as uncharacterized. The record is from RefSeq and is a predicted model, not a curated record. NCBI's taxonomy places the organism in Eukaryota, Metazoa, Chordata, Actinopteri, Salmoniformes, Salmonidae. The transcript is spliced from 2 exons.
ACAGAACAUGGCCAAGAUGUUCAAAUGUUCAUAAAUGACCAGCAUGGUCAAAUAAUAAUUUAUGUACUUCCCCAUAGUCAGUUGAACUUGUAGAUAAUAUUUUGAUGUUUCUGUGUCCAGUAUGAAGGAAGUUAGAGGCAGUUUCGUGAGUUAAUGCUAAUUAGCAUUAGCGCAAUGGCUGGAAGUCUAUGGGUAUCUGCUAGCAUGCCUGCAGUAGUUAAAGGACAUUGCAAAAAUCCCGAAGUAUCCCUUUAAGCCCUUAUUCAUCUGACUGUAACAGAACUUUAUUGUAGAAAUCUCUCACCAUCACUUUAAACUUUGACCUGUACUGAUGAAGAGUGAAUCUCUCACUGUCCCUUUAAACUGUGGUCCUUCUGUAGCUCAGUUGGUAGAGCAUGGCGCUUGUAACGCCAGGGUAGUGGGUUUGAUUCCCGGGACCACCCAUACGUAGAAUGUAUGCACACAUGACUGUAAGUCGCUUUGGAUAAAAGCGUCUUCUAAAUGGCAUAUAUUAUUAUUAUAUAUUAAACUUUGACCUGUACUGAUGAAGAGUGAAUUGGAAAGAGAUGGUCUCCUGACUACCAUGUUGUGUGUCCCUCAGAUCCAGUGCUGAAUGAACAGACCAUCUCCAACACAGACACCAAGGCAAUAAGUGGAUCCAAUGCAACAUGAUGGACAGAGAGGAGGAAAACCUUUGUUACCUCAACUUGUGACCCUUUCGUGGCAGAAACGAUCUGCCUCCAAGUCUACAGCCAUACUGGAGCAAGAAGUCAACUUGCAACACACACAACACUCGUGGAUUAAACCUAAAUCUUUCACAACGUGGGUUCUAGCGUUGCUUGGCCCCAGUCACACACAACGUAUCGGAUCCAAGCUAUGAGGUGUGAUAUUGCCUCCUAGAACUGCCCCCCAGAAAUCCCUGCCCGCUCCCCACCCCACCCAGCUCAACUCCCCUGUUUUCAAAUAAGCUGAUGUCAGAUGUGAUACAGAGACUGACUCCAGGUCAGUUUGGCACUGGUGUUGUGCUGUGAGAUGUGUGUUGGUCAGUAUGGAGCUGCACUGGCCUGGGGUCAGAUCUAUAAUAGCACUGAGUGGCAUGGAGGCUCUUUUCUGCUAUGGAUAGAACAAAUACUAUAUUAAAGAGAAUAAACCAUUUUUAUUUAAAUGUU